Molecule: ribosomal RNA, 497 nt
Filed under: uncultured bacterium
Lineage: Bacteria
Description: partial 16S ribosomal RNA
Rfam family: Bacterial small subunit ribosomal RNA
Source: RNAcentral
GAUGAACGCUGGCGGCGUGCCUAAUACAUGCAAGUCGAGCGAACGGACGAGAAGCUUGCUUCUCUGAUGUUAGCGGCGGACGGGUGAGUAACACGUGGAUAACCUACCUAUAAGACUGGGAUAACUUCGGGAAACCGGAGCUAAUACCGGAUGAUAUUUUGAACCGCAUGGUUCAAAAGUGAAAGACGGUCUUGCUGUCACUUAUAGAUGGAUCCGCGCUGCAUUAGCUAGUUGGUAAGGUAACGGCUUACCAAGGCAACGAUGCAUAGCCGACCUGAGAGGGUGAUCGACCACACUGGAACUGAGACACGUUCCAGACUCCUACGGGAGGCAGCAGUAGGGAAUCUUACGCAAUGGGCGACAGCCUGACGGAGCAACGCCGCGUGAGUGAUGAAGGUCUUCGGAUCGUAAAACUCUGUUAUUAGGGAAGAACAUAUGUGUAAGUAACUGUGCACAUCUUGACGGUACCUAAUCAGAAAGCCACGGCUAACUACGUG